UCCCUGAUGGACUAGUGGCUAGCAUGCGGUACUCUCACCACUGUAGCCUGGGUUUGAUUCCUGGUCAGGGAA
This is a non-coding RNA of Pangasius djambal, 72 nucleotides long. The record is from the annotation of a GenBank genome assembly. NCBI's taxonomy places the organism in Eukaryota, Metazoa, Chordata, Actinopteri, Siluriformes, Pangasiidae.